CCUGAGAAACCCAAAAGUUCGAACGGAGAGAUUCAUCGUCAGCGAUCCCGGCGAUGUGCGGUUCGCGAUGCCGCGGGACUUCGGUCCCGCGGCACGCGUCCGUGACUUUUUUUGCCGGGUUCGUCGUCGUGCACUUCUCCCCUAGUAGGACGUCGCGACCCGUUGGGUGUCGGUCUACGACCCGGGUGGCCGUCCGUCAUGUGUCACACGCCUCACGGCGCGUCAUGUGGCGGAGCCCCCGGUUGUCCGACCAGCUGCCCGGCGGUACUCGCACGGUAUUGAGUCGCAAUUCGAACUGCGUCCGGCCCGCCGCAAGCGAGGCCAGUGUUUCCCGGAUGUACGGACUUAGCGCUGUCACCGGGCCUGGCCAGCUGUUUGCCGGCGGUGUCCUGGGACUCGGCUCUAUUACCGGUCGGCGACGCUACUGCUUUGGGUACUUUCAGGACCCGUCUUGAAACACGGACCAAGGAGUCUAACAUGUGCGCGAGUCAUUGGGAUCUGUUAAGCCUAAAGGCGCAAUGAAAGUGAAAGUAGGCCUUGCGCCAACCGAGGGAGGAUGGGCCGCGUUACGAUGCGGUCCCGCACUCCCGGGGCGUCUCGUUCUCAUUGCGAGAA
RNAcentral lists this ribosomal RNA (615 nucleotides) under Lemophagus pulcher. RNAcentral's name for it is "eukaryotic LSU rRNA". Lineage: Eukaryota; Metazoa; Arthropoda; Insecta; Hymenoptera; Ichneumonidae. The record is from RNAcentral.